GUCUAUUCAUAGGUCAUAACGUAUUCUAACUCCCUCUACCAGUCUAUUCAUAGGUCAUAAUGUAUUCUAACUCCCUCUACCAGUCUAUUCAUAGGUCAUAAUGUAUUCUAACUCCCUCUACCAGUCUAUUCAUAGGUCAUAACGUAUUCUAACUCCCUCUCUUUCUAUUCAUAGGUCAUAAAGUAUUCUAACUCCCUCUACCAGUCUAUUCAUAGGUCAUAAUGUAUUCUAACUCCCUCUCUGUCUAUUCAUAGGUCAUAACGUAUUCUAACUCCCUAUCUGUCUAUUCAUAGGUCAUAAUGUAUUCUAACUCCCUCUACCAGUCUAUUCAUAGGUCAUAAUGUAUUCUAACUCCCUCUACCAGUCUAUUCAUAGGUCAUAACGUAUUCUAACUCCCUCUACCAGUCUAUUCAUAGGUCAUAACGUAUUCUAACUCCCUCUACCAGUCUAUUCAUAUGUCAUAAUGUAUUCUAAAUCCCUCUACCAGUCUAUUCAUAGGUCAUAAUGUAUUCU
Molecule: long non-coding RNA, 513 nt
Filed under: Salmo salar (Atlantic salmon)
Lineage: Eukaryota; Metazoa; Chordata; Actinopteri; Salmoniformes; Salmonidae
Description: lncRNA (ENSSSAG00000104620.1)
Source: RNAcentral